RNAcentral lists this ribosomal RNA (269 nucleotides) under uncultured prokaryote. RNAcentral describes it as "partial 16S ribosomal RNA". It matches the Rfam family "Bacterial small subunit ribosomal RNA", at positions 524 to 792 of the family's 1533-position model. The record is from RNAcentral.
UACGUAGGUGGCGAGCGUUGUCCGGAUUUACUGGGCGUAAAGGGAGCGUAGGCGGACUUUUAAGUGAGAUGUGAAAUACCCGAGCUCAACUUGGGUGCUGCAUUUCAAACUGGAAGUCUAGAGUGCAGGAGAGGAGAAUGGAAUUCCUAGUGUAGCGGUGAAAUGCGUAGAGAUUAGGAAGAACACCAGUGGCGAAGGCGAUUCUCUGGACUGUAACUGACGCUGAGGCUCGAAAGCGUGGGGAGCAAACAGGAUUAGAUACCCCCGUA